RNAcentral lists this ribosomal RNA (341 nucleotides) under uncultured bacterium. RNAcentral's name for it is "bacterial SSU rRNA". It matches the Rfam family "Bacterial small subunit ribosomal RNA", at positions 28 to 334 of the family's 1533-position model. The record is from RNAcentral.
GACGAACGCUGGCGGCGUGCCUAACACAUGCAAGUCGAGCGGUUCAACCUUUGACACUGAGUAUUUGAGGAAUCAAAUAUUGAGUGUUGAAGGUUGGAUAGCGGCGGACGGGUGAGUAACGCGUGGGCAACCUACCUCAAACAGGGGGAUAACACAGGGAAACUUGUGCUAAUACCGCAUAAGACCACAACAUGGCAUCAUGGAGAGGUCAAAGGAGAAAUCCGGUUUGAGAUGGGCCCGCGUCCGAUUAGCUAGUUGGUGGGGUAAAGGCCUACCAAGGCGACGAUCGGUAGCCGAACUGAGAGGUUGAUCGGCCACAUUGGGACUGAGACACGGCCCAG